GACAUCAGACAACUCUCCACUUGUACAACUGCUUUUAACCAAAGCACAAACCACAGCUGCUAUAAAAGAAAGCUGACACAACAGCACAGCUUGAACUCAGCGUGUCGACAGAUGGCGCCAGACGAAUUGCGUUUGAUUCGAAAGAUAUGUAUACGAAUGGAUACAUAUAUUUUGUAUGCCUAUGUGCAAGUUCACCAACACCUCUAGCUGCACUGAAAAUUAAAAACAAAUGUAUUCCUAACUAAUGCCCUACUACGCGAUUCUCAUGAAUUCAAGUCGGACUCAUGGGCCACACGGCAACUGUAGACGGCGAUGGCUUUAAAGUUGGAGUAACGACAACUUAAAGAAAGUAGAAGGCAGCUGAUUUAAUAUUGGAAGAGACGGCAGCUUGUUUAAAGGAGGAGGAGGCGGCUUGUACUAUGGUGGAGGCAGUACCCAUUGCCUUGGCGGAUGACGUUGAAAAAAAAAAUGUGAUGUGUUUAUAAAAAUAUUCGUCUCCCGCCUACUAAAUAUGAAGAUAAAAGUAUCGAUGAUGAUAAAUACCUUUGAAUUAACAGAAAGGAGCUGAUUUGUGGAACAACUGUGGCGUAAGCCUUUGUCAAUUUGGUAAGUUCAGCACAAAUCAUUAGCCUUUAAUCGCACGAAUCCAAAAUAGUAGACCAUUUUAUAAUCAAACCUUUUUUACCUGAGUUCUACAAAAUUAUACACUUUUCAAAAACUU
Drosophila virilis is the source of this 721-nucleotide non-coding RNA. The record is from RefSeq and is a predicted model, not a curated record. NCBI's taxonomy places the organism in Eukaryota, Metazoa, Arthropoda, Insecta, Diptera, Drosophilidae.